UAGAUGCGAGAGUAGAGCAUAUCAAUAAGCGGAGGAAAAGAAACUAACAAGGAUUCCCUUAGUAACGGCGAGUGAAGCGGGAAGAGCUCAAAUUUGAAAUCUUCAAGGUUCUACCUUGACGAAUUGUAGUUUAAAGAAGUGUUUUCUGUUAGAUGAGUAGCAAAAGUUCCUUGGAAUGGGACAUCAUAGAGGGUGAGAAUCCCGUAUUUGGUUAUUCAUUCUAGCUUUGAUGAUACACUUUCAAAGAGUCGGAUUGUUUGGGAAUGCAGUCCAAAAUGGGUGGUAAAUUUCAUCUAAAGCUAAAUAUUGGCGAGAGACCGAUAGCGAACAAGUACCGUGAGGGAAAGAUGAAAAGAACUUUGAAAAGAGAGUUAAACAGUACGUGAAAUUGUCAAAAGGGAAGCGUUUGACACCAGUGUUGUUUUUCCGAAAAUCAAUUACGAAUGGCUUGAUUUUGUGUUGUAUUGACCUUAUCAGCUUUCUUCACUUUUUUCGAGUCUUUCUUAAUGCACUUUUCGGUUAACAAGUCAACAUCAAUUUCUUUUGUUGUAAAAGAGUAUUCGGAAGGUGGCUUUCUUUUCGGAGAAAGUGUUUAUAGCCCUAUACUUCUACAAUCGGAGAGAUUGAGGUCUGCAGCGUAGAUCCUUCGGGGUUAGAUACAUUUGUGCUAAGUUGUAGCUUUUCAUAGACAACUUGUUGACUAUGUUUAGUCAUGCGGCUUACUCGCUUAGUGCUAUUUUACCUACGCUUAGGAUGUUGAGCGCAUGUCUCUCUCU
This 776-nucleotide ribosomal RNA is filed under the name uncultured Neocallimastigales. RNAcentral's name for it is "partial large subunit ribosomal RNA". It matches the Rfam family "Eukaryotic large subunit ribosomal RNA", at positions 22 to 616 of the family's 3401-position model. Lineage: Eukaryota; Fungi; Neocallimastigomycota; Neocallimastigomycetes; Neocallimastigales. The record is from RNAcentral.